UCUGUUCUCUCUCAGUCCUAGCAAAGAUGACUGCAAACACUCUAGUGAUCUGCUCUCUACUGCUUUCUCUUGCUGGUUGUUCAGCUGAGAUCAUUCUGACUCAGAGUCCGUCAGUGGAUUCGGUGUCUGUGGGAAGCAGCGUCACUCUCAACUGCAGAUCCAGCAGUGACAGUUUUACAUCUAGUUUAGCCUGGUAUCAUCAGAAACCCGGACAAACACCCAAACUCCUGUUCUCUAGUGUUGGCAGCAAAGUGUCUGGAGUUUCUGAAAGAUUCACUGAUGGGAGAUCAGGAACAAACUUCAUGCUCAAUAUCAGAAACGUCCGGUCUGAAGACGCAGGAGAUUAUUACUGUCAACAGCAUUAUGAACGGCCAUGA
Non-coding RNA from Sinocyclocheilus grahami, 377 nucleotides. The record is from the annotation of a RefSeq genome assembly. NCBI's taxonomy places the organism in Eukaryota, Metazoa, Chordata, Actinopteri, Cypriniformes, Cyprinidae.